GCUGACCUUGAGAGAGCGGAGGAGGCGCAGGCGCAGCACAGUUUAAACUUGAUUUUGUGAGGGGACGAACAGCGUGACAAUUAAAAGAAGAUCUGGGAAUCAGCAACUGGGAACCUAAUUCUGACCAAAAAGGAGGAAUUGUUUGGCUAAUUGGAAGUGACAGAAACCUUGGGAGAAAGCAACCGCAUACCAAGGAUAAUUAUAAGAAGAAGAGAAGACAUGGAGAAGAGGAGGGAGUAGUUGUGACCGUGGAGGCAGAGAAUGGAGUAAUGUGAUCAUAAAUCAAGGAAUGCUGACAGCCACUAAAGCUGGAGAAGGCCAAGGACAGAUAUUCAAUCCUCCCGUAGAAGUACAGCCCUGCUAAUGCAUUGAUUUUGGACUUCUGGCCUCAGAACUGUCUGGAAAGCAUGGAAAUUUGUAUCUUCAUUCACUUUUGUUUUCAUGGACUCUUUUCAUGUUUGAACUUUUCAUGGUUUAAAGACUUUCAUAAGAAGUUUCAAAAAUUACACUGUGAGAAUUUCAUUAAUUUGAAUACUAUCUCAUUCUGCUGUCUUUGCUCUGCAUUUGUGAAGGGAAGGCAUUUCAUGGAUGACUUUGGCAUUCAUCAUAAUGAGAACAACUUCCAUGGUGAAUACUAACCGGAAGAAUUGUGUGCUUUUUAAUGGUUUGGAACAUCACUCCUGGCAGCACCUUGGAGACUUAUUUUUUAACUAAUUUAUGCUCACGGGGUCUGGACUUCAAGAGCAUGUGUCCAUUCAAACCACUUACACACUUUAAUACAAUCUCUAUAAUAGAAGUUAUUCAUGUGGUUAUUUGAAGCCUGGUGGUAUAAUCCUCUCAUAUGAUAGUGUACUUUUGUGAGUUAGAAGUCAACAUUAAAAGGCUCACAGAGUUAAUUUAGGUUCUGUCUGAUUCAUCACUCAGCUAGUCUUUGCAAACUACAGGAUACUGUUGUUGGGGACAAGUGGGAAGAAAAGUGCCAGAACUCUACUUUUAGAUAUAAUUAAAAUCUUCAAUCUGUAGGACUAUCCUGCUCAGAAUAAUAUGUACCCUUUGGUGGUAAUUCAGGAUUUUAGUGCUAAACCCAAAAGAACAGGGCAACUUGACUUUUUAAAAAUUUUAGAUAUGAGAAUAAACAGUAAUGCUAUGGAGAAAUAUUAACAGGUGAGCACCCUCUCAAUUCAAAAUAACACAUUGUUACUAGUAGUGAUUCAGGUAAAUACAUAUUUUCCAGUUGGACUUCUAGUUUCAUAUGUGUUCCUUUACUUUGUCAUUGUUAAAAUGCACUUCUCAAAUUUUUGAUAGUUUCUGCCUCCUUCUCCUCAAAUUUCUGUGGUAUUUACCACAUAUUUUAAAAUCUUGCAUUUUUUUCCUUUCUGUUUUGACCAAUAAGCCUCACUAUACAAUUAACAGUUUUUACGUGGUUGAAUAAGAGAGGGAUCAAGAAUAUCUUUUGAGAAUCUAGAAACAUGAUCAUCUUAAAUCUUGCAAACAAAAAUUAUUCUCAGGGUAUAUAAUUUUAAAAAUUAGGUUUACAAGGCUCAUUCAGCUUUUAUUAGUCAUUGCUUUAACUAAUAAUGUCCAGAUAAUAAAAGUUGAUCCAUGGACAGGUUAAAUUUCUCACUUUUAAGUUUUAUUUUUUGCUUGGUGUCAUUCAUCUAGUUUUUAGAUAAAUGUCUACAUUCAAUGUUUAAGAGCUCAGACCUAAUGAAUCACAUCCUUAGAAGUGUUUUCCCUCUGGUAAAGUCCAAUGAACUGUUGCAGUAUUACUGCCUCGAGGAACAAAUUUUUUUUAAUUAUACUUUAAGUUCCAGGGCACAUGUGCACAAUGUACAGGUUUGUUACAUAUGUAUACAUGUGCCAUGUUGGUGUGCUGCACCCAUUAACUCGUCAUUUACAUUAGGUAUAUCUCCUAAUGCUAUCCCUCUCCCCUCCCCCUACCCCAUGACAGGCCCCAGUGUGUGAUGUUCCCCUUCCUGUGUCCAAGUGUUCUCAUUGGAACAAAAAUUUUUUAUCCUAAUAAUUAAAAUAACUUGGGAAUAGAAUAGUUAAGUAUUGGUGUGUCUACUAAGUUCAUCUCCCAAGAUGAGAUAAGAAAGAAAGAAUAAAAGUUCUUUGUUAAAUUCCCUUUGUCAGUCUUCACAGAUUGGAAAAAAAGAAAAGUGUACGUUGGAAAAGCU
Molecule: long non-coding RNA, 2180 nt
Organism: Homo sapiens (human)
Lineage: Eukaryota; Metazoa; Chordata; Mammalia; Primates; Hominidae
Gene: TMEM161B-DT
Product: TMEM161B divergent transcript
Source: Ensembl